AUACCAUGAUGAGGGCAAUGUUGAAGCAAAUCCUUGUAUCUUUCCCAAGCCUCGUAAAAUGACUCAGAAUUAAGCUGCAUGAAUGAUGUAAUAUCAUUUCUCAUUUU
This 107-nucleotide small nucleolar RNA is filed under the name Theobroma cacao (cacao). RNAcentral describes it as "Plant small nucleolar RNA R71". It matches the Rfam family "Plant small nucleolar RNA R71". Rfam says of the family: R71 is a member of the C/D box family of snoRNAs containing the C (UGAUGA) and D (CUGA) box motifs. Multiple nearly identical copies of this snoRNA have been identified in Arabidopsis, and it is thought to function as a 2'-O-ribose methylation guide for 18S ribosomal RNA. Lineage: Eukaryota; Viridiplantae; Streptophyta; Magnoliopsida; Malvales; Malvaceae. The record is from Rfam by way of RNAcentral.